Molecule: ribosomal RNA, 327 nt
Filed under: uncultured Acidobacteriota bacterium
Lineage: Bacteria; Pseudomonadati; Acidobacteriota
Description: bacterial SSU rRNA
Rfam family: Bacterial small subunit ribosomal RNA
Source: RNAcentral
AAUCAACGCUGGCGGCGUGCCUAACACAUGCAAGUCGAACGAGAAAACGGGGGCAACUCCGUGAGUAGAGUGGCAGACGGGUGAGUAACACGUGAACAACCUACCCUCAAGUGUGGAAUAACACCGCGAAAGCGGUGCUAAUACCGCAUAAUAUCCCAGGGACGCAUGUUCCGGGGAUCAAGGGCGAAAGUCGCUGGAGGAGGGGUUCGCGCCUGAUUAGCUAGUUGGUGAGGUAACGGCCCACCAAGGCAACGAUCAGUAGCCGGCCUGAGAGGGCGUACGGCCACACUGGAACUGAGACACGGUCCAGACUCCUACGGGAGGCUG